Molecule: small nucleolar RNA, 86 nt
Filed under: Pan paniscus (pygmy chimpanzee)
Lineage: Eukaryota; Metazoa; Chordata; Mammalia; Primates; Hominidae
Also listed under: 1 other name
Description: Small nucleolar RNA U3
Rfam family: Small nucleolar RNA U3
About the family: Small nucleolar RNAs (snoRNAs) are involved in the processing and modification of rRNA in the nucleolus. There are two main classes of snoRNAs: the box C/D class, and the box H/ACA class. U3 snoRNA is a member of the box C/D class.
Source: Rfam by way of RNAcentral
AAGACUCUCCUUUCAGGGAUCAUUUCUAUAGUGCAUUCCUAGAGAGUUUCUCUGAAAGUGUAGAGCAGCAGUCCCCAGUCCCUGGG